RNAcentral lists this ribosomal RNA (250 nucleotides) under uncultured bacterium. Its description in RNAcentral is "partial 16S ribosomal RNA". It matches the Rfam family "Bacterial small subunit ribosomal RNA", at positions 524 to 773 of the family's 1533-position model. The record is from RNAcentral.
UACAGAGACUGCAAGCGUUAUUCGGAUUCACUGGGCGUAAAGGGUGCGCAGGCGGCCGUGUGUGUGAGGCGUGAAAGCCCGGGGCUUAACCCCGGAAUUGCACCUCAAACUACAUGGCUAGAGCAUUGGAGAGGGUAGCAGAAUUCAUGGUGUAGCAGUGAAAUGCGUAGAUAUCAUGAGGAAUACCAGAGGCGAAGGCGGCUACCUGGACAAUUGCUGACGCUCAGGCACGAAAGCGUGGGGAGCAAAA